CGCGCGCUAGCUAGCAAGUUGCGAUACUCCGGGGCGGCGGCGCGGAGCCUGCGUCCAGGGGUUUCAAGAGGACAGUGGAUGGUAUGUGGAUGAUGGCAAUGACUGGAUUGUGAACCACAUAUGGAAAAGCCAUAAUCCAUGGCUUUGAUGUCAAGAAGCCACAGCCCACCAAUCCAAUGAUGUCAGCAUGAUGGAAAAAAAGGAUGAGAGAAGAAGAACCUGGAACAAGGGAGAAGGGAGGAAGAAGGAUGGAGAUCAGGAACAUGGCCAACUUGUGUUCUCACUUGUAAUUAGGGAGUAAAGGCUUGCCUUCAUAAGCUUGCAUGUCAUAUUUAACUGGUGCCUUCCUAUAACAUCUUGACUUAAUAAAGAGGCUAGCAAAAGGAAAAGAGAAGAAAAAUGAAAGAAAAAAAUCCGCAGCAGGACAAUAAAAAGUUUCCUCUUCACACCCACCGCCGUGGGGGUUUUUCCUUUGUGCCUCAGGGCUUAUCCCACUGAAACGCAUCAAUUUUUGCUUUUAUGCUGGAAAUGCCCAAAAAACAUUUGAAGCUUCCCAGCCACCCCUUGAGGGUGAGAACGUUUCACAAUGUGUCUCCAGGGAAGGCUAGGGGGCCAGCGUCGGGUAGAGAGGAGGCUUUCUCCCCUUCACAGGGGAACAAAGGACAGAACCUCAGAGUUCUUGACCCAAUGUGUGACCUCGG
Long non-coding RNA from Bos taurus (domestic cattle), 701 nucleotides. The record is from Ensembl. NCBI's taxonomy places the organism in Eukaryota, Metazoa, Chordata, Mammalia, Artiodactyla, Bovidae.